Cajanus cajan (pigeon pea) is the source of this 1344-nucleotide non-coding RNA. The record is from RefSeq and is a predicted model, not a curated record. NCBI's taxonomy places the organism in Eukaryota, Viridiplantae, Streptophyta, Magnoliopsida, Fabales, Fabaceae.
AAGGCCAAUGGCUUAAAAAGCAGUGCUGAUGGUCGCUGAGAGAGAGGAGAUCAAAGUAGUGUGAUGGGUGUUGAAAGUUCGCAUCUUUGGCCUUUUGGAGCACAAAAUAGAGAAGGGAAGCACUCUAUGAAGCAAAGACUCCAACACGAACAUUGGAUAUGACAUGGACAUGGCUAAUGUCCAAAGUGUAAGACAAGGAACACAACACAUAUAUAUGGAUAGAUAGAUAGAUAUAUAAGAUUUACAAUUUUUCUUAAAAGUUAAAACAACUAAUAAUUCUUUUGAAAAUGAAUCUCACAUAGGAUAUAAAAGAUGUUAUGAGCCUUAUGAUAUUUAUAAAUAAGUUAAUUUUUAUUUUAUUUUUUAUAAUAAGCGUGUAAGGUAAGUGUUUAGUUAAGAAAAAAUGUUAAUUCAUUCUCUUAGUCCGUGUCUACAUCGUGUUGGAAAGAUAUUUAAGUUGUGUUAGAAAAUUGUUUAAACAAAAAAAAUAAAUUUAAAUGUGACGCAAUGGAGAAGUGUCAAUUAUGUGUCAAGGCGUGUUUCACAGGUAUCAUAUCCCUAAACGUGUCAAACGUGCUAACAUAGCGUUUCAUAAAUGUGUCUUUGCUGGGGGGGGGGACAAAUCAUUUCACCCUGAUGUGCAAUUCCUUGAGGGAGAAGAUGGAUUAUAUAGUUGGAUACUUCCUGGAUCUUGAAGGCAGAUGGGGCAGGUGAACCUACCCGUCAUGCUACUAGUCUGUACGUGGUGAAGUUUUUUAGCAGUGGAAUGUAACAAGGAGGCACAAUUCCAUGAUAAGCAUUCCUUACAAUUUAUGGUUGAUAAACUUGGGAAGGUUGUCAGACAGAAGAGGAAAUCUCAAAGUACAAGCUUUGCAUAUUUAAACAUUCCUUGAAAUUUAUGUAUCACAAAGAAACCAGUAUUGGUUUUUUAGGUUUGUAUUUGUAUCCUUGAGCAAGCUAGUUUGUAAGUGGUUGUUAUUUUUUUAUUUGUUUAUAAGUCAUGCAUCAUGAUGAUUAGUUUGCUCUGUAUUUCAUAUAUUCUUUUGCUGCAAACUUAAGAGGAAUAUACUCUGAAAAAUCGCAAAUUGUGACAGUAAAUGGCAAAAUAAUUAAAUAACGAGGUAUCUCUAUUGAUUUAUACCUUCUCAUUAGGUUGACACUCGACACCAUUGUCCUCGGAGAAUGAGAGGUCUGCCUUAAAAUUAAAAUGCUGCUGGUUACAACCGUCGGCAAUCCCAUUAAACCUGCUGUUCUGAAGUUUGUGAAGCAGUAUUUAGCAUAUGCAGCAUGCAUCUAAUUAUUAUAGGAUUUUGAUCAAAUAAUUUGAAAAAUAAAAUGUUCUUA